Molecule: ribosomal RNA, 553 nt
Filed under: Aphyosemion plagitaenium
Lineage: Eukaryota; Metazoa; Chordata; Actinopteri; Cyprinodontiformes; Nothobranchiidae
Description: partial 16S ribosomal RNA
Rfam family: Bacterial large subunit ribosomal RNA
Source: RNAcentral
GCCUGCCCUGUGAUUAAAAUUUAACGGCCGCGGUAUCUUGACCGUGCAAAGGUAGCGCAAUCACUUGUCUUUUAAAUGAAGACCUGUAUGAAUGGCAUAACGAGGGCUUAACUGUCUCCUUUUUCCUAUCAAUGAAAUUGAUCUCCCCGUGCAGAAGCGGGGAUAAAAACAUAAGACGAGAAGACCCUAUGGAGCUUAAAACGCAAGAACAGAAUAAUACUCCUUCAUAUUUACCAAAAUAUGAAAUACAAUUAUAAACCUGUUCAAAUGUUUUUGGUUGGGGCGACCACGGAGUAUAAUUAAACCUCCACGAGGAACAAAGACAUUCCUUUUCAUUUAAGGGUGACAACCCUAAAAAACAGAACAUCUGACCACCUUGAUCCGGCAAAGCCGAUCAACGAACCGAGUUACCCUAGGGAUAACAGCGCAAUCCUCUUUUAGAGUCCAUAUCGACAAGAGGGUUUACGACCUCGAUGUUGGAUCAGGACAUCCUAAUGGUGCAGCCGCUAUUAAGGGUUCGUUUGUUCAACGAUUAAAGUCCUACGUGAUCUGA